Molecule: ribosomal RNA, 463 nt
Filed under: uncultured bacterium
Lineage: Bacteria
Description: bacterial SSU rRNA
Rfam family: Bacterial small subunit ribosomal RNA
Source: RNAcentral
CCAGACUCCUACGGGAGGCAGCAGUGAGGAAUAUUGGUCAAUGGCCGAGAGGCUGAACCAGCCAAGUCGCGUGAGGGAUGACGGCCCUACGGGUUGUAAACCUCUUUUGUCGGGGAGCAAAGAGAGUCACGUGUGACUCAUUGAGAGUACCCGAAGAAAAAGCAUCGGCUAACUCCGUGCCAGCAGCCGCGGUAAUACGGAGGAUGCGAGCGUUAUCCGGAUUUAUUGGGUUUAAAGGGUGCGUAGGCGGAUUUUUAAGUCAGCGGUAAAAUGUCCGGGCUCAACCCGGGCCGGCCGUUGAAACUGGGGAUCUUGAGUGGGCGAGAAGUAUGCGGAAUGCGUGGUGUAGCGGUGAAAUGCAUAGAUAUCACGCAGAACUCCGAUUGCGAAGGCAGCAUACCGGCGCCCGACUGACGCUGAGGCACGAAAGCGUGGGUAUCGAACAGGAUUAGAUACCCGCGUA